This 72-nucleotide transfer RNA is filed under the name Ambystoma cingulatum (flatwoods salamander). Its description in RNAcentral is "tRNA-Pro". It matches the Rfam family "tRNA". Rfam says of the family: Transfer RNA (tRNA) molecules are approximately 80 nucleotides in length. Their secondary structure includes four short double-helical elements and three loops (D, anti-codon, and T loops). The record is from RNAcentral. Lineage: Eukaryota; Metazoa; Chordata; Amphibia; Caudata; Ambystomatidae.
CAAUAGGUAGUUUGAUCCCAAGAAUUUCGGCUUUGGGUGCCGGCGGAGGGGGUGAAAAUCCCCCCCUUUUGA